GAGCCGUUAGCUCAGUUGGUUUAGAGCACUACCUUGACAGGGUAGGGGUCACUGGUUCGAAUCCAGUACGGCUCA
Molecule: transfer RNA, 75 nt
Filed under: Prevotellaceae bacterium
Lineage: Bacteria; Pseudomonadati; Bacteroidota; Bacteroidia; Bacteroidales; Prevotellaceae
Description: tRNA-Val
Rfam family: tRNA
About the family: Transfer RNA (tRNA) molecules are approximately 80 nucleotides in length. Their secondary structure includes four short double-helical elements and three loops (D, anti-codon, and T loops). Further hydrogen bonds mediate the characteristic L-shaped molecular structure. tRNAs have two regions of fundamental functional importance: the anti-codon, which is responsible for specific mRNA codon recognition, and the 3' end, to which the tRNAs corresponding amino acid is attached (by aminoacyl-tRNA synthetases). tRNAs cope with the degeneracy of the genetic code in two manners: having more than one tRNA (with a specific anti-codon) for a particular amino acid; and 'wobble' base-pairing, i.e. permitting non-standard base-pairing at the 3rd anti-codon position.
Source: RNAcentral